Molecule: unclassified non-coding RNA, 503 nt
Filed under: Hevea brasiliensis (rubber tree)
Lineage: Eukaryota; Viridiplantae; Streptophyta; Magnoliopsida; Malpighiales; Euphorbiaceae
Source: RNAcentral
GUUUCCUUUAGUCUCCCUUUGGAGUCUCAGUGUCUCUCUAAUAGAUGGAAUUUUUGUGUGUUUGUUUUGAGAUGCAUGCUGUAGUCUGCUCUCUUGAUAUGAGUGGUGAAACUUUUUGGAGUAAGAUUGGCAGGCAGCUUAAACGGUGUAUACCGUUUUUAGUCAUUGUUGCCUAGCCCGUUCCCGGUUCUUCCGGCAAUAGCCAAGUUCUUGACUUUCUGUCCUUGAUGCAUCUACCCCGCUUUCUUCAUCUGGGCUUUAAGUGUGAGUAGGAAAGUGUGUUUCUUUCUGCAUGUUAGUUUCUCCAAUUUGCCUGGCUGCUACUUUCUCCUUUGAUGGCAACUGAUGUAUUGCUGGUGGAAGAGGCUAUGGUGGCUGUAGUUGAAUAUGGCAGAAGGUCCCUAAUGAAAAAGGGCUAUGGGUCAACCCGAUUCGUCUAGGGCUCCAAGUUUCCUUUGAUUUUGGGUCUUUUUCUGAGUUUGGGUUGAUUUGAUGUAAUUUUU